RNAcentral lists this unclassified non-coding RNA (200 nucleotides) under soil metagenome. RNAcentral describes it as "partial contains internal transcribed spacer 2 and large subunit ribosomal RNA". The record is from RNAcentral.
GUUCGAGCGUCAUUUCAACCCUCAAGCCUGGCUUGGUAUUGGACGUCCUCUCAACCGGAGGCGUCUGGAAAUCAGUGGCGGCAUAUCCAAACCUUUGAGCGCAGUAAAUAUUUCGUUCUGCAAGGGGAGGCGACUGUCUGUCAACAAAUCCAAUCUCUAUGGUUGACCUCGGAUCAGGUAGGAUUACCCGCUGAACUUAA